RNAcentral lists this ribosomal RNA (739 nucleotides) under Enterovibrio calviensis FF-85. Its description in RNAcentral is "bacterial LSU rRNA". It matches the Rfam family "Bacterial large subunit ribosomal RNA", at positions 781 to 1525 of the family's 2925-position model. Lineage: Bacteria; Pseudomonadati; Pseudomonadota; Gammaproteobacteria; Vibrionales; Vibrionaceae. The record is from RNAcentral.
GACUAAUGUUGAAAAAUUAGCGGAUGACUUGUGGCUAGGGGUGAAAGGCCAAUCAAACUCGGAGAUAGCUGGUUCUCCCCGAAAUCUAUUUAGGUAGAGCCUCGGACGAAUACUACUGGGGGUAGAGCACUGUUAAGGCUAGGGGGUCAUCCCGACUUACCAACCCUUUGCAAACUCCGAAUACCAGUAAGUACUAUCCGGGAGACACACGGCGGGUGCUAACGUCCGUCGUGAAGAGGGAAACAACCCAGACCGCCAGCUAAGGUCCCAAAGUUAUCGCUAAGUGGGAAACGAUGUGGGAAGGUCAGACAGCCAGGAUGUUGGCUUAGAAGCAGCCAUCAUUUAAAGAAAGCGUAAUAGCUCACUGGUCGAGUCGGCCUGCGCGGAAGAUGUAACGGGGCUAAGCGAUACACCGAAGCUGCGGCAAUGUGCUUAUGCAUAUUGGGUAGGGGAGCGUUCUGUAAGCCGUUGAAGGUGAACUGUAAGGUUUGCUGGAGGUAUCAGAAGUGCGAAUGCUGACAUGAGUAACGAUAAAGGGAGGUGAAAAACUCCCUCGCCGGAAGACCAAGGGUUCCUGUCCAACGUUAAUCGGGGCAGGGUAAGUCGACCCCUAAGGCGAGGCUGAAAAGCGUAGUCGAUGGGAAACGGGUUAAUAUUCCCGUACUGCUUAUAACUGCGAUGGGGGACGGAGAAGGCUAGGUGGGCCUCGCGACGGUUGUCGAGGUUCAAGUGCGUAGGC